CCUACGGGAGGCAGCAGUAAGGAAUCUUGCGCAAUGGGCGAAAGCCUGACGCAGCGACGCCGCGUGGGCGAUGAAGGCCUUCGGGUUGUAAAGCCUUUUUCUGGGGGACGAGGAAGGACGGUACCCCAGGAAUAAGUCACGGCUAACUACGUGCCAGCAGCCGCGGUAAAACGUAGGUGGCAAGCGUUAUCCGGAAUCACUGGGCGUAAAGGGCGUCUAGGCGGUCGGGUAAGUCGUGCGUGAAAGCUUCCGGCUCAACCGGGAGAGGUCGUACGAUACUGCCUGUCUUGAGGGUCGGAGAGGGACGUGGAAUUCCCGGUGUAGCGGUAAAAUGCGUAGAGAUCGGGAGGAACACCAGUGGCGAAGGCAGCCCCCUGGGUUGACACUGACGCUCAUGCACGAAAGCGUGGGGAGCAAACAGGAUUAGAUCCCCCUGUAGU
This 440-nucleotide ribosomal RNA is filed under the name uncultured Anaerolineae bacterium. RNAcentral describes it as "partial 16S ribosomal RNA". It matches the Rfam family "Bacterial small subunit ribosomal RNA", at positions 338 to 794 of the family's 1533-position model. The record is from RNAcentral. Lineage: Bacteria; Bacillati; Chloroflexota; Anaerolineae.